ACGAUCAGUAGCCGACCUGAGAGGGUGAUCGGCCACAUUGGAACUGAGACACGGUCCAAACUCCUACGGGAGGCAGCAGUGGGGAAUAUUGCACAAUGGGCGAAAGCCUGAUGCAGCAACGCCGCGUGAGUGAUGAAGGCCUUCGGGUCGUAAAACUCUGUCCUCAAGGAAGAUAAUGACGGUACUUGAGGAGGAAGCCCCGGCUAACUACGUGCCAGCAGCCGCGGUAAUACGUAGGGGGCUAGCGUUAUCCGGAUUUACUGGGCGUAAAGGGUGCGUAGGCGGUCUUUCAAGUCAGGAGUGAAAGGCUACGGCUCAACCGUAGUAAGCUCUUGAAACUGGGAGACUUGAGUGCAGGAGAGGAGAGUGGAAUUCCUAGUGUAGCGGUGAAAUGCGUAGAUAUUAGGAGGAACACCAGUUGCGAAGGCGGC
Molecule: ribosomal RNA, 431 nt
Filed under: Clostridioides difficile
Lineage: Bacteria; Bacillati; Bacillota; Clostridia; Peptostreptococcales; Peptostreptococcaceae
Description: bacterial SSU rRNA
Rfam family: Bacterial small subunit ribosomal RNA
Source: RNAcentral